RNAcentral lists this ribosomal RNA (433 nucleotides) under uncultured bacterium. RNAcentral describes it as "partial 16S ribosomal RNA". It matches the Rfam family "Bacterial small subunit ribosomal RNA", at positions 30 to 507 of the family's 1533-position model. The record is from RNAcentral.
AGCGAACGCUGGCGGCAGGCCUAACACAUGCAAGUCGAACGAACUCUUCGGAGUUAGUGGCGGACGGGUGAGUAACACGUGGGAACGUGCCUUUUGGUUCGGAAUAACUCAGGGAAACUUGUGCUAAUACCGAAUGUGCCCUUCGGGGGAAAGAUUUAUCGCCAUUAGGGCGGCCCGCGUCUGAUUAGCUGGUUGGUGGGGUAACGGGCCACCAAGGCGACGAUCAGGAGCUGGUCUGAGAGGAUGACCAGCCACACGGGGACUGGGACACGGCCGAGACUCCUACGGGAGGCAGCAGUGGGGAAUAUGGGACAAUGGGCGAAAGACUGAGGCAGCAAGGCCGCGUGGGUGAGGAAGGGGUGAGGAUUGUAAAGCCAUUUGGGCGGGGACGAGGGUGACGGUACCCGCAGAAGAAGCCCCGGCUAACUCCGUG